GGUGGCUCAGUGGUAGAACGCUUGCCUUACAUGCAUGAAGCCCUGGGUUCGAUUCCUCAGCACCA
This is a non-coding RNA of Dipodomys ordii (Ord's kangaroo rat), 65 nucleotides long. The record is from Rfam. NCBI's taxonomy places the organism in Eukaryota, Metazoa, Chordata, Mammalia, Rodentia, Heteromyidae.